Long non-coding RNA from Malus domestica (apple), 445 nucleotides. RefSeq lists it as uncharacterized. The record is from RefSeq and is a predicted model, not a curated record. Lineage: Eukaryota; Viridiplantae; Streptophyta; Magnoliopsida; Rosales; Rosaceae.
UUUCUUGCUAAACUCUCUCUAACCUCGAGCCCGACCGAGAGGGCUCUCUCCUUUUCUCUCAAACCUAAAAUCAAAACCGAAACAACUAGCCCUCAUCAUUUCUACUCCUCGCGAUGUCUUCUCAGCCAAACCCAGAAGCACCCCUUAAACGCACAGCACCGAGUUCCAUUGAGUCCACUACGCUUGCAAACGGAGUUGCUGGCAUACUGAAAAUUUUAUAGUCCAAAAGGAGAACUCGCAGAGUCCACGAUUUUCAAAUCCCAAAGGAAGGUAAUAGCCGACAACCGCCGAACUUGUAUGUAAAAAAAUUAUUUUAUUAAAAUGUGAGAGAGAGUGAGUGAAAGAGGGUCCAGCGAUAUAGAGGUCAUCACAGCAACCCCACUGUAAGCAUUUCAUAAUUCAGACUCCAGUUCACAUUCCUUUUAAAUUUCUGCACUUUAAUGUU